This 468-nucleotide ribosomal RNA is filed under the name uncultured bacterium. Its description in RNAcentral is "bacterial SSU rRNA". It matches the Rfam family "Bacterial small subunit ribosomal RNA", at positions 337 to 797 of the family's 1533-position model. The record is from RNAcentral.
UCCUACGGGGGGCAGCAGUGGGGAAUUUUGGACAAUGGGGGCAACCCUGAUCCAGCCAUGCCGCGUGAGUGAAGAAGGCCUUCGGGUUGUAAAGCUCUUUCGGCCGGGAAGAAAUCGCACAGGCUAAUACCUUGUGUGGAUGACGGUACCGGAAUAAGAAGCACCGGCUAACUACGUGCCAGCAGCCGCGGUAAUACGUAGGGUGCGAGCGUUAAUCGGAAUUACUGGGCGUAAAGCGUGCGCAGGCGGUUUUGUAAGACAGGCGUGAAAUCCCCGGGCUUAACCUGGGAACUGCGCUUGUGACUGCAUCACUUGAGUACGGCAGAGGGGGGUGGAAUUCCACGUGUAGCAGUGAAAUGCGUAGAGAUGUGGAGGAACACCGAUGGCGAAGGCAGCCCCCUGGGCCGAUACUGACGCUCAUGCACGAAAGCGUGGGGAGCAAACAGGAUUAGAUACCCGCGUAGUCCG